UGUUUUCGGGAUCCGAAUACGAUUCACAGUGCGCCUGCAGGCCGUCCCUAAUUUUCCCUGAAUUUUUCCCGGGGAACUGAAACACACUAACAGUACCGGCGGCGGCGCUCUCGGGUACGGCGGCUCUCCGGCGAGGUUCGUGUUUUGGUGAUUCGGCUUCGGUCAACCUCGAUCGGCGGUCGGAAAUUUCCCCGGUGCGGCGGCGGGUGGCGGCGGUCGGCCUCUGGUUCGUCUUCUCC
RNAcentral lists this long non-coding RNA (239 nucleotides) under Carica papaya (papaya). RNAcentral's name for it is "long non-coding RNA (CPAP_LNC002595)". The record is from RNAcentral. Lineage: Eukaryota; Viridiplantae; Streptophyta; Magnoliopsida; Brassicales; Caricaceae.